This 485-nucleotide ribosomal RNA is filed under the name Rotylenchulus reniformis. RNAcentral's name for it is "SSU rRNA". It matches the Rfam family "Eukaryotic small subunit ribosomal RNA", at positions 1329 to 1831 of the family's 1831-position model. The record is from RNAcentral. Lineage: Eukaryota; Metazoa; Nematoda; Chromadorea; Rhabditida; Hoplolaimidae.
UAACGAGCGAGACUCUGGCCUACUAAAUAGUUGGCACAUUGCCACUGUGUGCACAACUUCUUAGAGGGAUUUUCGGUGUUUUCAACCGCACGAAAUUGAGCAAUAACAGGUCUGUGAUGCCCUUAGAUGUCCGGGGCUGCACGCGCGCUACACUGGCAAACGCAACGUGCCUGUCCUGCCCCGAAAGGAGCGGGUAAACCCCUGAAAUUUUGCCGUGAUUGGGAUCGGGCAUUGCAACUAUUGUCCUUGAACGAGGAAUUCCUUGUAGGGGCGAGUCAUCAACUCGUCCCGAAUACGUCCCUGCCCUUUGUACACACCGCCCGUCGCUGCCCGGGACUGAGCCAUUUCAAGAAAACCGGGGAUUGAUGGCUUAACUGCCCCAUACGGGGCACGCUGGCCGUUGAAAACCGGCUUAAUUGCAAUGGUUUGAACCGGGCAAAAGUCGUAACAAGGUAGCUGUAGGUGAACCUGCUGCUGGAUCAUCA